GAAGCUUUAACUUUCUCUGUUCGAACUUGUUGUGUUGAGUCGGGAGGUGGACGGAGGCACGGCACGGCAGCGGCGCUGCUGUCGCCCGGCCACGGUGAGAGAGAGGGAGCUAGGGUUCAGGCGCAGCAGCGGCUCGUCGCUGUUGUAGCCGAUCAGUCGGGAGUGAGGGAGAGGUGGUCUGGUCCGGGCACGAUGGAGUAGCAGCGGAGGUGGAGCCUGUCGUGGUCGCCGUUGCUCCAGCGAGCUCCAGCGGCCGUGAGAGCAGUCGAGAGGGAGAGAGACUGGCGGCGGCAGCGAGCUGUUGUCGUCGGAAGGAGGAGGGAAUCGGUGGUUUCAGGGAAGCUAGGUCAGGCGGCGGUGGCUGUUUCUGACUGCGGCGGCCGUGGGUUCUCCGCGGUUGCUGCUGCUCGGGAAGCCGGCGCUCUUCGCCGGGAAAAAGGAGAAGGGGGAUGGCGCGGCGUGUGUUGGUUUGUGAGGUGGGGGAAGAGUGAGAGGGAGACUUGAGGUCGAAGGGAAGGAGAGAGGAGGCGGAGCCGCCGGCCUCCGGGGACGGUGCUGCCGUCCGGUGGUGGCGGCGGGAGAGGCAGAGAGCGAGAGAGAGUGAGCGGCUGUGAGGAAGAGAGAUGUGUGAGUGUGAGUCUGUGACCGAUGGGGGAAGAAAA
Molecule: long non-coding RNA, 662 nt
Filed under: Salvia miltiorrhiza (redroot sage)
Lineage: Eukaryota; Viridiplantae; Streptophyta; Magnoliopsida; Lamiales; Lamiaceae
Description: long non-coding RNA (SMIL_LNC012778)
Source: RNAcentral